This 16515-nucleotide long non-coding RNA is filed under the name Xyrichtys novacula (pearly razorfish). Lineage: Eukaryota; Metazoa; Chordata; Actinopteri; Labriformes; Labridae. The record is from RNAcentral.
GUCCUAACAGGAGCUGGCAGCUAAACAGUAAAUCCUUCUGCAGCACACCGUCACAUCUGGGAGUCUGAUUAAGAAAUGCACCUGCAGGCGAGACGGUCGGAGUGGAGAGAGAGAAGAGGAAAUAUUCCCAAAGACGAUCAGGGACGCCUUAAAGAGACUGAUUUAUCGGUAAGAGAAAAACAGAAAAAACAGAAAAACAGAGAACUUACCUUUGUAUUGGCUUACUAAGAUUUCUGCUUCUUCCCCCUUAAAUCCACAACAUGAAAUUUACUUGUAUGCAUAUUUGGAUUAAGAGAUGGCUGUCAGCCUUUAGUAAAGUUACUUCAUCAGCUGUGAGUUUGAACAAGGACUUGCAUGACUCGAAGGAGCAGCUUUUCAUCUCCGAGUCGCUCAUAAAUGAUCUCAAAGAUCAAUACUGAUCGUCACAUGAUGAAUGUCUGGGAUGAAAAACUGAAUAACUUGAAGGAGCUUGUAGCUUUAUCAUGAGAAAAUCAGCUCUUUGUGCUGCAGCGUUAACUCAGCGAGGAGGACAUGAUCAUCGGUUCUUAAAGGAAACAGUCAGACAUCUCCAGACUUGGACAUUGUUGGGAGUUUAAAUGUUAAAUGUUGUAUCCGGAACCAUGUAGUGUCCUGUUGAUCCAUUUGGCAAUAGCAGUGUGAAGAAACCCAGCAUGCACCCGCCUCAUACUUAAAGCAACAUCAUCUGUGGUCAUGAACAAACCAUCAGACUCAUUCAGACUAAAUUUUGCAUCUUAAAGUAAGAGAUUUGUCUGAUAUAUUUUUGACAUUAUAAAAUAAGAGUUUCCCUUGCAUUGCUGCACAUGAUUAAGUUAACAUUAUCAAGUUUUAAGUCCACGGCUCCACUGAUGGUCAAACUUGGAUCAAAUAAAAAUGUGAACAGCGUUUCGUUCUCCUGUUUUAUUUCCACAAAUGUGUCAGACCUCCGCCGGCCUCCGUCACAACUCCAGCUUUAUUAGGCUGAAUGAUACGUCAAGGUCGGGGACCACAUAAAGAAAAAGAGCAGAGUGACUCAUAACUGGAGUGGAUCUGACUUUUAAAGGUCGGCAUUAGCUUCCUCUAAUCCUCAUUGAAUACUAAGUACCGAACAAAACUCUCCACUCUUCAGUUCUGAAACUUUUCACAGUUUUGUGACAAAAACCACAAAGUCUGAUUCAAACCUUAGAAAUCUUAGAAACCUCAGAAAUUUGCCAAAAAAUACAACUGGACAAGAUCAACAAAGUGAUACUGUACAUGUUUGCCCACAGAGUAGAGGUUGAAAUCGAUAACCAUGUCCAUUAAAUACCUGUUAGAGCAUUUUUUAAAGUCUGAAAAUCAGUAACAUUUGAGCUUAUCCAGUCUGCAGUCAGGUCUCAAGGGUCCAUGAAGUGAAGUUAUAGUUAUUAAUACAUUAAUAGACUGUCUGAUUAAGCGUGUGAACAGCAAAUAGUUAUAAAAGUAAACAACAAAGAAAUUGCAAUAAUGGCUGAGGGGGUCAAAAGUGUGGUUACAUGGUACCGAAGCAGAAGAAAUGCAUUUUACACACAUCAGCACUGUCCACCACACGCCUGGGGUUUCAAGACAACCGUGGGUCACUAUUUAGUAAAUAAAGAUGAGUGUUGGUUCAACUGAAAAGACUUCAGUCCAAAAACAACCGCUGCCUUAAGGAGAAGAUGGUGUGACUGUGGGUGAAGAGGUUGUUGCUCAGUGGGAAAAAAAGGUGCUGCUGCAAAGAAGCUAAAUACAAAGUCCACUGACUGCAGAAACUUGAUCAGGAUGAUGCUUGAAACUGCUUUUCCCAAGACUUUAGAACAGCAUCUCAUAUAUGUGGGUGAAUUUAUAGAGCAGUUUAAAACUUUUGGUCCGUGUCUGUUCUGAACGAAGUCGUCUUUGCUGAUUUAAAGUUGGUGUUUUUGAGAAAAUCAUCUUAUCUACUUUAACACUCCCCUCCAGUGGUUUUAGAUGGUUAAAAUUACUAAGCGGAGACUAGAAAACCGUCUCUCCUCCUUUUUUAGAUCAUUAUGAAACAUAAAUAUUGACUUCAGUGUGUUUUAUAACCAGCCCAAAAAUGACUCACAGGAACUUUAAACCUAAAAGCCUUUUUAAACUCUGUUUGUGCAUUAAUACUCUCAUUGUGUUCAGCAAUGUGCAGUUUUGAUGCAGACGCGUUUCUCCAUAUAUUACAAACUGCUCUUGCCACCACCCCAGCUACUCAUGCAGUAUUGAGACCUAGCUCGAAGUAGCAUUACUGGUUGUGAGGUACAGAUGGACACUUGUCCCGCCCACCUCUGCUGGACGCUUGUCUUGAAUUGAGGCGUGUUUUUCCAAAUCAAACCAGCUCUAUAAAAGUGUCCAACCAUUUCAAAAACGAAAUAAAAAGUGUUUUUGCUUGACUAGCCCGUCUCACUAUGCACUGAAGUGGCCACUUGUGUCUCAGAGUGCCAUCUUCUGGGUAAGAUACUGCACUGCAAUUAAAAAUCUCUGUAUUUUUAACCACUCUGUUGGUUUCAUCAGUGUACGGGAUCUAGCUCACUUUCUCUGUGACUAAAAUGGUAAGAACUUUCACAAUAAUAUACUUUUUGUCUGUAUUUUUUAAUUUUAUUUGUGAGUAUUUGGGUUACAGUCGCUGAAAGGAUUGAUCGAGGGCAGAAAAAAAUUAGCCUCCAUCCAGUUUUAUCGAGCCCGGACACCCUGCGAAGGAAACCCAUUUUGGCCGCUUGUAUCCGCGAUCUUGUUCUUUUGGUCAUUACCCAAAGUUCACGGCCAUAGGUGAGGAUUGGCAUGUAGAUCGACCAGUAAAUCAAGAGUGGACUUAGAGGUGCUGAUUCGCAUCCCAGCGGCUUCACACUCGGCCGCGAACUGGCCCAGCAAGAGCUGAAGGUCACUGCUCGACGAAGCUAGAAGUACCACAUCAUCCGCAAAAAGCAGCGAUGCGAUCCUCUGCCUGCUGAACUGGACACCCUUCAACCCCCGGCUGCGUAGUGUUUGUUUUGAGUUAAACAUUGCAGCAGAUAUUGUUGCUCAGAUUCGUGUUUGUGUCUCUGUUGUGAAGUUUUUUCCUGACUCUUCCUCAGACAGGAAAAAAACGGUAUUAGCUCGGUGUUCUUGUUAAUUUGUGUUGCUGUUUGACCUUGAAAACGCCAGGUUGGUGGCCUGCUCUUAUUGAACACCUUACCGCGGCCGAGGUGCCAGCUGGUGGCGACAGAUUUGAGAAAUGAAAGGCUGAGGCGGCGCAGGCAGACCUCCGCUCUGUUUAUCUGGAGCAGAUGGCAAAGACACGAUAAGAAUUUGUAAUCCACCGUUAUUACCACCUCUGCUGCGAGCGUCGUUGCUGCUGCUUUGACAAACAUUAAAAUCCUUGCUGAAGGUUUGUUUUCUCUGUUCUUACACAAGCUGGGAUCUUUGUUGAUAGUAGGAUGUUAGAAAAUGCCCUUGGAUGCAGGUAAGUAGUGGAGGAGAGAAGGUAAAUAAAGGCCUCUGUGGUUUAAACACUAUCAGGACCAAACUGCACAACAAACAGGGACUAAUUAGUGAUAUGAAAGUCGGUCUAUCAUGCACUUAGAACUGUUCUUUGCAUGAGGGACACUCUCUGAGGACGUGUGUGUGUUAAUAUGGCUGUGGGUGUUAGUAAUAAUGAUAUCCCCGCCUCUUAUUAUCAUCCUGGGUUUGAACUUUUAGCACAUAAUAACUCUGUGGUGGAGCGUCUGAGCUGUUUUGCAGUUUUGUUGGGUAUAAAAUGGUCAAUCUGAAAGCCGGUUUAACUCGGCAAUCAUUUCAGCCGAGGCUGAGGAGGAAAGUAAGAAAGUAUAUCCACUCCAGUGCAGACCUGCACUUUGUCUUUGAGGUGCUUCUAUAUUAACACAGUAUUUCACCUGCUCUGCUAUAUUUCAGGAUAAUACCACACUGACCUAAAUUGCAGACUCGGGCUCAGUCCCAUCUCUCAUUUUUACCCCUCUACCGCUCAUUUUCGAGGGCUGCUUUGCCUCUUGAAAUGGAGCGGCAAGAAAGAUAGGGAGACUUUUUUUCCUCUGCAAAAUAGGACCAACCAUUUAGGACCUUGUUAAAUCAUCAAUAGCCCUGAAACUAACAGGCAGAUAAAACCAAGGCUGGAAAUUAUCAGCAGAAUUUUACAAUAUUUCACUGUAAUAUUUUACUUUUAAUGAAUGUAUCAUCACUUUACAGGAUUUAACCGUAAUGUUAACAGUAUAAUACUGUAAUUUUGAAUUUUAAUGUGAAAUCAAUACAGGAACAGUAAAUUACUCUGAAAUACUUACAGUAAAUCACCAGGAAAUCACUGAGAAAGUGGUGGAACUAGUCGUCUGUAAUUUACAGUAAAUUUACAGCCAAAAAGAACAACAUUUGUAGGUAGGCACAUCUGAUUUGAUCUCAUGUAAAGACAUUUCUCAUCUUUGAUUCCACUUUGAACACAACAACUCAAUAAUAACCCACUCAGAGUCAUAAUAAUAAUGCAGUAUCCUUUAAUUUGUGCUAAUGACAUCGACUACAUUAUGAUAUAAUAGAUUUUUAGGUGAAGUCUUCUUCAUGGAAAAAAACAACAGUACCCUUUUUUGAGGUCACCAGAAUCAACUCUGCAUGAAAGCCCCUCUAAUUUCUAAUUAUUUAAGUAAAAGUGACAUCUAACCAAAGUGAACAGACUAUAUUCACAAAUAAACCACCCAGAGGAGGAACCAACGCAAGAACAGCACCCUCUGGUGACGGGCUGCAGUAUAGAUCAUAAAUCCCGCCUCCUCCGGUAAUCCCUAUGGAGCUGUGGACAAACUUUAUACAUUAAUGACACAGAAUAUAAAUGUUUCUCCCCCCUGCUUGUGAUGUUGACAUGUAGUUACUGUCAGACUGGUUUGUGAUCAAGUCCUCUUUUUUUCCGUACAGCUCCAUUUUUAAAAGUUCUUAGGGGGUUCAAGUUUUCUAUGAUUGACACCUGAUACAGCCUAUUGGCGUACGAAGGUUGCGUAGCUCACCCGAGGGGAUACGCUGUUUGAGCCGAGCGUAAUCACAGCGACUCACCCGCCGAAUGCGUACAAUGGUACUGCGCAAGUGGUGGCUCCAGGAAGUGGAGAAAAUUCUGGAAAUACUGAGAGCAAUAAUGACUGAAGGCGGAGCCAAGUUGUCCAUAAUAUAGUCUAUGGGUGGUGCUGUUGUCAUGAUAACAGGGACUUUUGAGCUUUCUGUCCCUCACAAAUGCUGCAGACUCAGUCUCAGUCACUCUCACCGAGCAUGGCUGUUAGCACUGAUGUUUGUGAAAUAGUCAUUUUUGGAAUGAGGUUCAUUUGCAUAAUGGCUUAUGUAAAUAUGCACAAUAGCAGCCAUGCCCCAGGAUACUAUUUGUUUUACUUAGCAGCUUUCGGUGCAUAUAACUCUUUGCAUAUACUUUGUGAAUUAGAUGCUUUUUGUUUAAUAUGCACAGGUUUUCCAUGUGCAAAGCUGCAUAAACCUCAAUGAAUCAGGUCUUGAGAGGAAUGUCUGUCGGCAGCAGGUGUUCAACCGGGACCCGGAGCAGGUGGCUUGAAAAGGUGGAGGAAAUAUCUCAGUGGGACAGGUGGAAGAUGGUAUGGGAUGUUGGAAAAACUGGUUCAAAACAGAAGAGGCAGAGGAGAUGACACAGUGGCCUGAAAACAUCUCUCAAAGUCUCUCAAAUUCAAAGAAAAGAAGAGAUCAGCAAUACUACGCAGCUACAACACAGACUGGACCACCGUGGGAAAGGGGAACACUCCCCGCAUAUGUCGGACUCUUUUAUUCAGUCAUCGCUGUCAGUCUCUGUGAAGAAAAAUCAAGAUGAAGAUAAAGAGAAAUCAUCGCUGAGGUUAUUGAAAAGUAUCCUGGGAGAUCCUCACUAGAAGAAGCAGAAGAAAGGGUGCUCAUCAAAUAAUCGGUGUGCUCGUCAGCUCAGGAUGGAUACACACUCCAGUGUAAGAGACUCUCCUGCAGGUUUUAUCUUUGCUCUGAAUUCAGAGAUCAGCCACGACCUCCCCUGUUACAUUUACCUUCGCUGAAACCCUCCCUGUCACUCAAGGGACCAUGAUGUAAGAGGAGAGUAAGACCCGAAACGAACAAAUAUUGACGGAGAUGCUUGAGAGUAUAAAGGCAGGAGGCUGAUUUAGAUGAUGGUUUUGUUUCAGAAAAGCACCUUUAACAUAAACAGAUGCUGUUAAAGACAUCAGGAGGUUUUCUUUCUUUGUCAAAAGUACUAAUUUACUACCAUAAAAGCAUAAUCAUCGUGGAUUUAACAAAAGUCCUUCCAAAAACACCUGUUAGUGGUCACCUAUGAACUAGUGUAUGGAAAAGCUAAUCUACAUUUUUCAGAGUGAGUGGGAAAUUGGCCAGUGAGGGUAAAGCUGCAGCUGUUACCUUCAUGUUUUCUCUUCUUUUAUCGGCUGUAACUUUCCGUUUCAUCGAUGAAACGUAUAAAACAAGGCCAAAAAUGUUUAUACUGCCCCACAGAAGCACAUUUAUCAAUAUUAUCACGGUAUUGCCGAAAUAUGUUCAAAAUGUAUAAAAAGUACUUAUACUCGCCCUGAAAUCAUUUAACAAGGUUUUAUUUUGAAAAAACAAUCAAAAUAACACAUAGAAUGAACGUUUCCUUAACCUUAAAUGACAGAGGAGAGAUACGCUUAAAAAAUGAAAGAUGGGGCCUUUUAAGAGCCAGAGGUCAUCAACACUGGUACUUUGUACUUUGUAAAAACAAAGUACAAUGUGCCAGUGGCAUAAAAAUUAACAUAAUAACAAAUAAAUAAAAUUUAUAUAAACUGACAUCCUUUAUUGUGCAAACUGUAAGAAUCUUUAGUGCUCAAAAAGAUGGACUCUAAUAAAUAUAGAACAGAGCGACACGAUUAUAUGAAACAAAACAACCACAUGUAAACAAAUGUGAAGUGCAGGAGUUUAAAAUAACAUCAAAUAUGUAAACUAAUCAAAUGAAGCGAUUGUCCGUUUUCUUCACCAUAAGGUGCUGCUGCUGACUUUGUUCACUACUUGAGAUUGAAAUGUAAAAAUGGCUGCAGAUUUACUUUGUCUGGUUUAAGUCGUGAUCUGCGAGGGGAAAUGAUGUGUGCGCUGGAACUGAAUAGCCUCUUGGAUGACAUGCUGGUUGCUGGGAUGCGCAAAAGCUUCCUGGCAACCCUUGCGACCCUUUGUAAAAGCCGAAAUACGCCCAGACUUCGGACUUUGUUUUCUUUGACAGCGGAAAAAUCUCUGCAACACUGUUGGCAACCUGUGUCCGAAGGACUGCUGUGUGCGGCUGCUCUUUUCAGCACUGAGCAAUCUUUGAGCGUUUCCAGAGUGUGGCAAUCAAACACGGUUUUAACGGUAAUUGAAAUUUGAAACGGUAGUACUAACUGUCAGGCAUUUUACCGCGGUUUAUCAUUUUACCGGUAAUUGAUACAUCCCUACACUGUCGGAUGUCUGAUCUAAGAGAGUGCGAGGCAGGACAAGAUCUUGAGUUUGGUUGUGUGAGGUAGUGGCAUCUGUAAUUAAGCUAUUUUUGUUAAAGUCCAGUUAAAUAUUGUUGAAGCAGGUGUUUUGUUUUUGCUCUAUGUGGAACAUUUUUAGUGUUUUAUUUUGCAUCAGACCACCUGUUUGUUUGUGCAGUUUUUCGCGGCUGUGUCUAUGUAAACAGCAUGCUAGUGUUCCUGUGUCAGGUUGGUUUAUUUUGGUCUCUUUUGAAGUCUGCAGACCCAAACAGCUGAUUGGCAAAAAAAAUCACUUAAAUGUUGGAUCCAGAAAUUGUGCAAGAAUAAAACUCUGGGGUUUGAGUUUCGUAGAAUUAGCUAAAUUUCAUGGUGGAGUUGAUCAAGUGGGGUUGUCAUGUGCCGCUUCUCUGGUCGGUAUCCCUUACACUGCCUGACAAGUAUGUCAUGAAACACUGCUUAAAAUACGGACUGUCCCUUUAAUGAUACAGAUUACAACAGUUAAGUGUGUAGAUAUCAAAGGUAGCCAACAUUAAUCACCAAAAAGAUGAGAAAUCCUGGUCUGAAGCAGGUACCUGAGGCUGACUGAGUCAUCUGAGGAGCAGAUUAGACAGCCGUCCAUCACACGGAGAGGAGAGGAAACAGCCUGAGCCUCAAUCUUUAAGGCACGGUUUCAAAGGUCAGAGGGAUUUGUGAUGUGAUCGCCCUGACAGCCUUUCCACAAAUGAUGUCACCCUCCACCACCUCUGCUUCGACUUCUUCCUCCACUGCUGUCCGUCCGCUCACUGCAUCAAAGACUCUCUCUAAAGGACCGGUUUCAGCUGCCCACUGGUGUGUGAAGACUCAAUCAACUUUAUUAAUCGCUAUUUUCUCUCCAAAGGUCUUGAACUUUCUCUCUGGCUUAAAACCCCUUUCCUCCUCUUUCAGUCUCAGAUUUGUUAUGACUUCUCCAGUAGAGCAGUUUUUCCAGACUAUCUAAUCCUUCAACAGCUGAUUUUAAACUGAAUUCAAAGACGUUUUGAUCAUUUGGUUCUCCAGAUCGCUGCAGGACUUUAUAUUAGGACCUGUUUUGGCGAAUGUUAGGAUUUUAAUGAGUCUGUCCACCAAAUUGAUUUUAAUUUCUAUAACUUUGAUAAAACACACCCGUGUGUGUCUGAAUACUCAUUUACCCUGCCAACAGAGGACUUUGGUUUUAUUCGUAAGUGACCAAGUGGGGACCAAUCAGAGCAGAAGGGUUUGGGGGACUCUUAUCGGUUGUGUUUUCAUCUAUUUCAAACCAUGAUCAUCUCUGGUGAUUAUUCUUUCAUAAUCAAUGGAUCUUAACUGGUGUAAAAGUUUAAUUUGUGUGUGUUUACUCACCAACGUACACAACAGAGGACUUUGGUUUCGUUGCCAAGUCAACAACAGGGGACCAACAUUAAGUGGACGUUUUGGUGGACUGUGGUUGGUCGUUCUUUUGGUGAUGCUGAGGGUAAGAUGAGAGUUUUUAGUGUUUUUUUUAACAUCAGUGGUAAAUAAUAUGGCUCUAUUUGUUUUCUCAGCAUUUUGAUUUAAAAAAAAAAAGCACCCUUGCAUCGUAAAGUUUCCUCUUUUGUUGAUGAUACUAUUCUUCUUUCACAGCGUAAAUGGGAUUUUAAUGUGUUUACUUAUUCUGUGAAACAUAUUGUUGCAUUUGCAUAACAAAUAAAGGAGUAAUUGUUUUGAUUUAUUAAGAAAAAUGUGAAUUUUGCCUCCUUAUUGUUGAUCUCUCAUACAAGUUGUGAAGUAUUAACCCAAUUUACCCAAAUGAAAGCAAACAAGAACACUGACGAAAAACUAGCAAUUGUUCGUUUAAUUUUUUAAUGGUAGUAGCAGUAAGAGGUCAUAGGUGUCAGACAAGACCAUCUGUACACUGAAGGAACUGCAAUUAAUCACAAUAAAAAGGGUAAGAUGGAGUAAUACGGAGUUAGAUGUUCUUGCAAACAAGCACCAAGCAGACGUAAACUGAUAGCCUGUCUCUUAGGGGUGUGCAUGAUACGAGUAAACGACUGCCACAUGCACCUCAAUUUUCAGAGAUCUAAAACUGAAAAAGAAAAACCUACUUACUCAAAAAUAUUCACAUGAGCUCAGACGCUGACUGAGGAGUCUUAAGGAACUACAGGAAAGUAGUUCCCGCCUCUUUGUUUAAAAAAGUACUCUGUCAGUUGCUGUACUUUCUCACUGACCUGUGCGUACAUGCUGUUGUUCGUCCCCAGAGUUUGAUUCUUGAAGGUCGUAAAUUAAGAGGGAUCCACUGAGUUCAGUGAGAAACGCCGCCGUCACUUCCAUCUCUUUGGAAACGGAGAACAUUUGCGUCCUGCUGGCGCAGUCAUGCAGCAGUAAAGAGUGCUGCAUCGGGCUGGAAGCAGUAAAUUAACUUCUCCCUUUCUCCUCCAUAACCGCUCUGCAUCCUGUUUACCAAGUGUUCCUCUCGGCUUUGAGCUACGGCCUUUGGCUCCUGGUGUAAUGUACAGUAUCAAAUUGCUUCUCUUAAAGGAGCAAUCAUGCAGCACUCCAGGGGAUGCCGAGCAAAGUAAUUGAACAUUCGCCGGUAAGCCGUUGACGUACAGUGUGACACCUCUGGGCUCUGACCGCUGGGUGUUUCAGUUUGCUUUUGCCUGGGUCAUAAAUAUGUGAACGGCCUUGAAUCCCAGCUGGGAACCACUGGGAACACUGGAGGCGAAUGACAGACACUUCCUCCCCUCCCCCAUACUCAGGACAGAUUUACUGAGGGCUCUCUCCAGGUGUAAAUGAACUGAAUCCUUAAAGGAGCCCAGAGGGUGAAUUUUGAUGCACAUCUCCACCGGAGAAAAUGUCAGACCCUGCUGAAAACCCCUCUCAUUCAGGCAGUACAGUAUCUCAAUGCUGACAGUAAGUAUUGAAUGGGUUUCCCAUCUUCUCUCUCCAUAUUCUCCCACCCAUCUACCUCAUACCUGUGAAUAGAAAUGAGGUGAAGGCAUCUGCAGGACUAACAUAACAUUUGACAGCAGGACACCCUCCUCUCGGUCAGAUCCCUGCAUCAUGGCUGCACUUAAACACGCAGAUCACCAACCGUGCUGAACUGUAAUUGCCAUUCAGCAAAUAUCUGAGAGUGUGGGGCUGCGGCGUGCACGCUCAUAAACCCCCUCGCUGGAAUAUCUGCUCCUACGCAUGAGGGUAUUACUCACCACGCUGUUAUUGUUCGCAAAUAAAACCAAAGAGUAAUAAAGGAGGUCCUUUAAAAAUUCAUGUGAGCUGAAUGAGCUGGAUGCUAAGCGCUGUGGGUGGCGGAGCGUGAGCGGCGUAUUUGUGUGUGUGUGUGCGUGUUUGAUGGGGGAGUAAGUAUGAAGCUUUAUUCUAAAUUAUUCUGGUCAUUAAGCUGCAUCAGCGUCUGUGUGUCACAGCUCUCUGCCCCUGACUGAGUGUGUGUGUGUGUCUGUAGAGUUUGUGUGUUUGCAGACAAUAUAUGCAUUUAUGGAGAUGACUAAUGUAUUCAUAUUACUUGAGUGCAGGUGUGUUUUCAUAUGCGUAUAUGAAGAGUUAGUGCUUGUGUGUGUAUGCAUGGCUUGGUAUGGAUACACUGUAUAAUGGUGGCGUGCAUCUGUGUGUGUGUGUGUGUGAGAGAGAGAUUGCACUCUUACAUUUGCAUUCAGUGAACCUGUGUGAGUGCAAAUGUUUGUCCUGGUGUAUUGUGUGUGUGUGCAUCUCUGUGAUGGUAUUAUGUGUUUGUGUUCCUGUGUAGAGUAUGUGCACGCCUAUUAUUCAUUCUCUUUAUUCAAAUAUGAGCGCAUGAUACUCUGUUGUGUUUUAGUGUGCGGUCUCUUGUCUUGACUGGGACCAGGUUAAGAAUAAAGUACAUGCAGAAAGUUUUCAAUAACAUCUCCUAGAGCUACGAAGUGUCAUGCAUUUUAGAGGAAAUAUGAACACCUGUUUAUGUGUAUGGUUGCUUUGAGUAAAACUGGACCAUUUUAAAGUUUAGUUUGGGGUCUUUAUUGUAGUUUAAAGUUUAAGUAUUUUGUCAUAUAUAUAAAUAUGUAUAUGCCGACAACACAUGGGCUUACACGUCACCAAAUAGAAGCUAUCUCAUCCUCUUUUCCAGGCUUUGAGACAAAAUUAGCAGCUUGAAACAUCAAAUUUAAUCCAGUUUUUUGCUCAUCCUGCUGCGUCUUUUAUUCCCUGACUUUUGGUGAGCGAUUUGGUGAGUAAGUUUCUCAGGUCAUCAUAUUUGACAUGGAUUCAGGGUUAAAAUUCUGUUUUAUUUACGCAUUUUGUUUCCUUAGUUUGAGCUCAGACAGAACAUUUUCAGACCACUUUUCAGCACUGAUUAUUCCUGUACAUGUUUGUCAUAUCCAAAGGUGAUCAUAUUCUGAAUCCCCAAAAUUUGGAGGAUUUUCGGGUCGGGUGAAGUGUUUUUUACACACUUCUAACUCCAGGUAGUCCACGGUACACAAACUGGACACAAACUUCCAUACAAAACCCGGAUAUUUGAAGGAUUUUAUAAACUUCCCCUGGACAGGCCGGACAGCCCCCAAACAGAGGACAUGUUCGGGUAAAAGAGGACGUAUGGUCACCCUAUCAUAUCCUCCUCCUCAAAAAUCAUUUCUUUAUUUAUAAAUCUUUAUUUAUAAAAUCAUUAUGGAGAAAAUGCCCAAAUAACACCCACAGCGAGGGAUAUUUUGGCUUUGCUGUUGAACGACAGGAGCGGUGCCAUCUGAACAGGAACGCCAACACCACAAAAGUGAGAGUAAAAAGUACUUUUAAGGGUUUUGGAUGUUAGUCAAAAAGUUUCCAAAACUCCUCCUGGGAUGCUCACACGCUGAGGCGAUAUCACCGUGUUUGAAAGUUGAUCUACUCCCUUUCUAAUCCUCCCCAACAGGGGAAUAUAUUCCUCUAUUUUCCUACGCAAAGCUCUUUGCAUUUAAACAUUUUGAGCUCAUUUGUCAACAUUUCAUGAAACCAGACUGACCUCACUUGCUCUUUCACUUACCUCUAUCUGCCUCCGUCCAUCACUCCGUUCCUCUCUCGCCUCCCAAAGUAUUCCAUUAUUCAACGAUUCACCUUUAGCACCUCUCCUCUCCCGCUGUCUCUGGCACUAAAUCUACUUUCAGACUUUAUUGUCCUUGAAAUUAGGUUUGCAGCAAAGUCCGCCACACAGAACAUACAAUAAACAAAAUCUACCGGAACAUAUGAGACACAGACGUUUAAGAUGAACCGUGGAACGAGAGGAAGAUUGACUGACCGGAGAGUCUGGGAGCCUCUGCCUCCUAUUUUCCUUUAUCUUCUCUCACAGAUGUCCAUCUAUCUCUCUCGCCUUUAUAACUCCUCUGGUCUGCACCUGUUCACUCAAUUUAAAAGUUCCACACGUAGAUAUACAACUACCAAAGUGUUUCUCCUUGUGCUGUGAGUCAAAGUUACUCCAUGAAAAUACUUGUGUAACAGUUUCUGUCAAACUCUGUCCAUGCAGACCUGACUAACCCUUCUUUGUUUCUGUCUUUUGCUUGAUUCAGAUCACCUGGACUUGGUGUUUCGACAGCAUGAAAGUCCAACUCCAGCGCUGCUCGCUCCGUCAUUUCCCCUGGUCUCAUCCCAGCCAUCAUAUUAGUCCUGGCUCUUGAUCUUCGUCAUGUCAAAGUAAGCGGUUUCCAACAUUUCUCUCUUUGGAGGGUUAGGGUUAGCAAAGUUUGGGUGUUUGUUGGGAAAGGAAGAACCGAGUGUUUGGGGAUGACUUUGCAGGGUAAGAAAAAUGAUUACCUUGUUCCUGUUGAGAGAGUUGAUAUGGUUCAGUAUGUGUAUACUGCUUUGGUUGGACAGACAGUUUCGGUACGGUACUUAUUGGGCUGGUUUUCUUGUUCUUUCUGUCAUUCUAAUGGCUCUUAUUCUGUGCAAUGACUCUUGACUUUAUAGAUGAACUUUUGAACAUCCAGGAUAGGAAAGGACAACAUUUCAGCACUUUUUAUGGCAAGCUUAGAAGUUUUUUUUUUUUACAUGAAAACAACAGAUAAAGUACUUAAAAGGAAGUUGGGACCUUUUCACACUGUCUGAGUUAGUACUUGAACUGUUUCACUGAAAACAGAAGAGGACCAAGAGUGUAGCCCUGAGGAACACCGUAAUAAUUUUGUGUAGAAGCUUGUUUUUUUCCAUCCGUCCUUUUUGAAAUGCAUAAUUUUGCACACUUAAGGAAGACAAGCUCAAGGUAGACUGGAUAAGGACAUGAUGGACCAAACCUAAAACCUCCAAAAUUGGGAACUCAUGACACCUUUUAUUUUUUUAUCUUGCCAGAAAUGAAGUUAAGCAGUGUGUUCUCUUCACAUAUUAGUCCACGGUUCCUUAUUUUUGGAAAUACCCACUUUUCUAUUUUAGAAAACAGUGUUUUAGAACUGUGGUAAAAGUUUAGAAACAUAAAUAUUUUUCCAUACUUAAUUUUUCAUUGUCCACACAUUUUAAGACCUGGAAACUGAUCACAUUUAUUUCUGUAUUUUUUCCUAUUUUCCAUCCUUGUGUCGAAACUCUGUUUGUCAUAAUCUAGGUCACUGAGAGAUUAAGGUCAAAGUCAGAAAAGGAUUUUUACAGGUUUGAAAAAAAAAAAAACACAUUUCGGAUUUAUCUAUUAAAAUUGUCCAAAUAUUCCAGACUGUCUAAACCAAAUUACAUAGUAAAACGUCCUGAAUUUGUCCUGGAAGAAGCAUAAAUGAGCCCGGCUUGUGCAAAAAUCCACAAACUUUUCUUCAAAUUGCGCCUUUUUUUUGUUUUUUAAGAUUUCUAUAUUCUACAACCCUUUGUUUUCUUUUAAAAAACAUAUUUCCUUAUUCAGAAAGCCUCAUUUUAACUGUCCAAAGAUAUAAUCUCUCCAACACUUUCUUCUUUUUCUUUUCCUGCGUUAAGUUCAGUCUCUGUUUUUCUUUCUUUCUCCUUCUCUCUCAUCUCAAACGUAAAUUAGAAAGAGUCCAUUAGAUUCCCCUAAAUGUACACCUACACACAUGCACACCCGCACAGAAAUGCAGACACAUGCCUGUUUCAGACCAUAAAUCGUUGUCUCCAUUAUAGCUCUGCCAAUAGCGCCUCCAUGCUGGCUGCACAGCUUCUUUAUGGUGCAGGUUUGAUGUAUACACGGGGCUUGAUCAGGCGGGCGGGGCUAGUGACAGAAUGAGGCUGGGAAAUGAGCGAGAGAGAGAGAAGAACACUGGACCGAUACCGAACACUGAAGAGACAUAAAGAGAGAGAGACAAAAAAUGUAAGAGACGACACAGCUGUCGGACAAUGUGCAAUCAAAACCUGAGUGGGUUGUUUUUCUGCAGACGCCCACAGACAGCGGCAAGUGACGUGUGAAUUUUCCAGUUUUUAUCCACGUCUGAUUGUUGUGUAUCUGUACUGUUUAUCUGGUGCACAAUCUUACAAUAUAAUAAUAAUAAUAAAAAUGAUGAUGCAGUUUGGGAUAAAUUUAUCACAGUUUUGCUUCAAUCCUUAAACAUUUCAGAUUUUUUAAAAUAUUUUUUUUCUGCAAAACUGAAACCUGAUAAAAGCCUGAUUCAUCACUUAAAGCUCCUGUGACGUUAAAUUCAUCCUGAUACUUGAACACGAUACUGAGAGUAAAGCGACUUAAAAGUCACCUAUAGGGUUGGGCACAAAUUAUACUGUGUACGGUGGGUCAACUUAAAUAUCCAACUAACUUUAGCCCGUGUACUUUUUCAUAGAAAAAUGAUCUGACAGCAAAAAUUCAAAGUUAAGUUCUUAAAAAGUUAAUUUAAUUUAAAAUUUCAUGGAAAAGUUCAGAAAUUUCAUCCAAAAAGAAGAACUCUGGUUAGCGCCCUCAUUUAAACCAUGCAUUAUUCUUUUAAUAGAGAAUAUUUAGGAAUCGGAAUUGAAAUGAAGAAUCGGAAUCAGAUCCGGAAUCGUUCAAAAUCAAACGAUACCCAACCCUAGCCACCUAUAACUGUGAUGUGUGCGUACUGUUGCUGUGCGUUCAGAGAAGUACAGUUUGUUGUUGUGGUUUCUAACCUUCAUCCCACGGCUGAGCUCAGCGUUUUCACCGUCUUUAUCUCUUGUAGUGCCAUUAAGCAGCUGUCCUGUAGCCUUAUGGCUUUAGGUGUGACAUUAUAAAGAAUAAUGGCGCUCUAAAAUAUAACAUGUUCAGCUGCUUGUAAAAGACUGCAGUUUACAACCGCUGCAAAACUUUACCCGCUUUUUUCUUCUUCUUUAUUUCAGGAGAAGUUUUAAUAACUCGACUCUUUUGUUUUAAGCAGAGAAAUUUAAUUGUUUGUAUAAUGUUGGUAUAAUAAAAGUGAAAAUAAUAAUAAAUGUGAGAGCUCCUCUUAACAACAGCAGAGGCAGAGAGAAGCCCGUCCUCCCUCUGGGCUGCCUUGAAGCUCUAAGCCUGUCGUAAAUGCUAUUCUAAUGUGUGUGUAUUGUAUAGGUGUGUGUGUGCGGCUGCUGCAGUACUGUCAAUAAGUGCUUGAUGGCUGAGCCUGUGACUGCCUCUCUCUCUCUCUCUCUCUCUCUCUCUCUCUCUCUCUCUCUCUCUCUCUCUCUCUCUCUCUCUCUCUGCAGCACAGAGGAGAUGGAUGGUGAAAGAGCCGGGCCCCUCAGCCACUUUUAUCUCCCCUUUUCCUCUCCUCCAUCACUCUGUCCUGAAUCUUCUGCCAUUUUCCCCCUCUGGUCUCCCUCCUCUCUCUCUUUCUCUCUUUUAAACUUUUUUUUCUGUGAAUGGAUGUUUUCCAUUUCCCUCCCCUGCAGACACUCUUUGUAUAUACAGUCCUUUACGUCUCUGUGAGCUCUCGCUUCGCUCCUCUUCAGCUUUAAAAAUACCGUUUAGGCUGGAAGUCUACAAAUCUCUCUGCUUAUCUGCCUCUGUUGUUUUCUGCUCUCUCUCUCUCUGUGCAUUGUGUAUUUUUUAGGGCUGUUUACUCUCUAACAGAAUUUUCUAUGAGCCCUUACUGUGGAAACAAGGUCACUGCCGUUGUUUUGAAAGGUGUACAUUUUAAUAUCUGCUGUAUUUGAUGUCUACCUUGAAACACUUCACCUUUCCUGUCUCUUAUUUUUAUGUUUUAUUAAUAAUAUUUGUAUAAUUCCUCCUGUUCUGGAUCACUGUUUAAUUCAGGUGACG